GGGUGUAACGUACCCUCUAGCCCUCUACGCGUACGGGUGUUGGGAGACAUAGCCCGGGAGAUGGAUUCUGAGACACGAAUCCAGACCCUACGGGGUGCAGCAGGCGCGAAAACUUGGCAAUGCGAGAAAUCGUGACCAGGGAACUCCAAGUGCAUCGGGUAAGACCGGUGCUUUUCUUGACUCUAAAUAGGUCUUGGAAUAAGGGGUGGGUAAGGACGGUGCCAGCCGCCGCGGUAAUACCGGCGCCUCAAGUGGUAGUCGCUUUUAUUGGGCCUAAAACGUCCGUAGCCGGUCUGAUACAUUCGUGGGUAAAUCAACCAGCUCAACUGGUUGAAUUCUGCGAGGACGGUCAGACUUGGGACCGGGAGAGGUGUGGGGUACGCUCAGGGUAGGGGUAAAAUCCUGUCAUCCUGAGCGGACCACCUGUUGCGAAGGCGCCACACUAGAACGGAUCCGACGGUCAGGGACGAAGCCUAGGGGCACGAACCGGAUUAGAUACCCGGGUAGUCCUAGGUGUAAACGCUGUGGACUUGAUGUUGGGGGUGCUCCGAGCACUCUCAGUGUCGAAGCGAAGGUGAUAAGUCCACUGCCUGGGAAGUACGGUCGCAAGGCUGAAACUUAAAGGAAUUGGCGGGGGAGCACCGCAACCUGAGGAUUGUGCGGUUUAAUUGGAUUCAACGCCGGA
This 685-nucleotide ribosomal RNA is filed under the name uncultured euryarchaeote. Its description in RNAcentral is "bacterial SSU rRNA". It matches the Rfam family "Archaeal small subunit ribosomal RNA", at positions 237 to 922 of the family's 1478-position model. Lineage: Archaea; Methanobacteriati; Methanobacteriota. The record is from RNAcentral.